RNAcentral lists this ribosomal RNA (319 nucleotides) under uncultured eukaryote. Its description in RNAcentral is "partial 18S ribosomal RNA". It matches the Rfam family "Eukaryotic small subunit ribosomal RNA", at positions 1470 to 1796 of the family's 1831-position model. The record is from RNAcentral.
CUCUUAGAUGUUCUGGGCCGCACGCGCGCUACACUGGUCUUCGCAAACGGAUGCAUUCUCGAAGGAGAAUGCCAAUCUUGGAAUCUAUGCCUUGGUCGGGACAGUUGCUUGCAAUUUUUCGACUCGAACCAGGAAUUCCUUGUAAUCGUGAUUCAUCACAUCACGAUGAAUACGUCCCUGCCCUUUGUACACACCGCCCGUCGCUCCUACCGAUCGAAGAGUUAGGUGAAUUGUUUUGAUCGAUAAGAUUUGACUAUGGUCAACUCUCGUUGUGAAAUUCUGUGAAUCUGACUGUUUAGAGGAAGGAAAAGUCGUAACA